RNAcentral lists this ribosomal RNA (484 nucleotides) under uncultured bacterium. Its description in RNAcentral is "partial 16S ribosomal RNA". It matches the Rfam family "Bacterial small subunit ribosomal RNA", at positions 30 to 507 of the family's 1533-position model. The record is from RNAcentral.
AUUGAACGCUGGCGGCAGGCCUAACACAUGCAAGUCGAGCGGAUGAAGGGAGCUUGCUCCUGGAUUCGGCGGCGGACGGGUGAGUAAUGCCUAGGAAUCUGCCUGGUAGUGGGGGAUAACGUCCGGAAACGGGCGCUAAUACCGCAUACGUCCUGAGGGAGAAAGUGGGGGAUCUUCGGACCUCACGCUCUCAGAUGAGCUUAGGUCGGAUUAGCUAGUUGGUGGGGUAAAGGCCUACUUAGGCGCCGAUCCGUAAGUGGUCGGAGAGGAUGAUCAGGCACACUGGAACGGAGCCACGGUCCAGACUCCUACGGGAGGCAGCAGUGGGGAAUAUUGGACAAUGGGCGAAAGCCUGAUCCAGCCAUGCCGCGUGUGUGAAGAAGGUCUUCGGAUUGUAAAGCACUUUAAGUUGGGAGGAAGGGCAGUAAGUUAAUACCUUGCUGUUUUGACGUUACCAACAGAAUAAGCACCGGCUAACUUCGUG